GAUGAACGCUGGCGGCGUGCUUAACACAUGCAAGUCGAACGGAAAGGCCAGUGCUUGCACUGGUACUCGAGUGGCGAACGGGUGAGUAACACGUGGGUGAUCUGCCCUGUACUUCGGGAUAAGCUUGGGAAACUGGGUCUAAUACCGGAUAGGACAACUUUUUGGAUAUUGUUGUGGAAAGCUUUUGCGGUAUGGGAUGAGCUCGCGGCCUAUCAGCUUGUUGGUGGGGUAAUGGCCUACCAAGGCGUCGACGGGUAGCCGGCCUGAGAGGGUGUACGGCCACAUUGGGACUGAGAUGCAGGCCAGACUCCUACGGGAGGCAGCAGUGGGGAAUAUUGCACAAUGGGCGCAAGCCUGAUGCAGCGACGCCGCGUGGGGGAUGAAGGCCUUCGGGUUGUAAACUCCUUUCGCUAGGGACGAAGCUUUUUUGUGACGGUACCUGGAGAAGAAGCACCGGCUAACUACGUG
RNAcentral lists this ribosomal RNA (468 nucleotides) under uncultured bacterium. RNAcentral describes it as "partial 16S ribosomal RNA". It matches the Rfam family "Bacterial small subunit ribosomal RNA", at positions 28 to 507 of the family's 1533-position model. The record is from RNAcentral.